RNAcentral lists this ribosomal RNA (287 nucleotides) under uncultured prokaryote. RNAcentral's name for it is "partial 16S ribosomal RNA". It matches the Rfam family "Bacterial small subunit ribosomal RNA", at positions 355 to 636 of the family's 1533-position model. The record is from RNAcentral.
UGAGGAAUUUUGCGCAAUGGGGGAAACCCUGACGCAGCAACGCCGCGUGGGCGAUGAAGGCCUUCGGGUCGUAAAGCCCUGUCGGGCGGGAAGAACGCUCUUGGUCGAAGGACUGGGGGGUGACGGUACCGCCAGAGGAAGCACCGGCUACCUCCGUGCCAGCAGCCGCGGUAAUACGGAGGGUGCAAGCGUUAUUCGGAAUUACUGGGCGUAAAGGGCGUGCAGGCGGGAGUGCAAGUCGGAUGUGAAAUCCCGGGGCUUAACCCCGGAAGGGCAUUGGAUACUGC